UUUUAUGAAACUAAUGCUGUGAAUAUGUUAGAAAUGUCUAAAAUAGGAUGUACGCAAAAAAUAAGGAAAAAACACUGUUUGGGGGUCGAAACCUAAGUUUCCAUCAAACCGGGAAAAAUUCUCUGGUUUCUUAAAAUUCCCAGAGAGUAUGGCUUGGUCAGCGGCAUAAAGGCACAUUCGAACUGUUCAACGACUCAAGGAUGAGCGGCUAUAGGCCCAAAGAGUGUUGGUGGAGGGAGGAGGAGAAAACGUAUCGAUCUGGAAGCAGGUUGGAGCAACGGUCGGCAGGCAACAAAAAGCCAAACCCGAUCAGAGCACCAACUCAAGGAUGAGCUGCUGCAAGCCUAGAGAACAUCGGCAGAGGGAGGAGCCAACGAAUCAAUCUGGGAGGAUCAGGAGAACCCCGACAAGACCACCAAGGACAAGCUCAGAGCUGCGGCAAGGCCAACAACACAAAUCCACGCCUGAUGAGCAGCUACUCAAUUCUCACCUGAUCUGAGUCAAGACGGGAGAGGAAUGACUGAGGAGACGGCAAGGGGUGGAUCACGACCUACCGAACGUGUGAGACCAAAGAAGAAGAAGAAAAAAGUUGAGAGGGAGAGGGUGAGGGGGUGAAGAAGAAAAGAGAAAAGAGCAGAGGAUGAGAGGGAGAGGACCAGAGAAAGAGAAGGGAGAAUAAGAGAGGGGGGAGCAGCUUGGCGUGAGGCCAGGCUGCUCCAAGCGGUGGCCAGAUUAGGUUUCUCUUGGAGUUCCUACGAAGCGAUGGAAAGGGUUCUAUCUGUUCUCGAGGACGAUUGAUCUAUUUGUUGCCCUAGAGUAAAAA
Molecule: long non-coding RNA, 823 nt
Organism: Macadamia integrifolia
Lineage: Eukaryota; Viridiplantae; Streptophyta; Magnoliopsida; Proteales; Proteaceae
Exons: 2
Source: RefSeq, a predicted model, not a curated record